Molecule: long non-coding RNA, 825 nt
Filed under: Vigna radiata
Lineage: Eukaryota; Viridiplantae; Streptophyta; Magnoliopsida; Fabales; Fabaceae
Description: long non-coding RNA (VRAD_LNC002751)
Source: RNAcentral
GCGUGAAUGACUACAAAGGGAGGAUGUUGUGGGGAUGUUGGUGGGAAGGAACAACAUAUUUUGUUUUCAAGCUUUAACUAAAAACAUGCCAACAUGUUUACAUAAUAGACCAUUAAUAGAUAAAACACUUUUAUCCCAAUAUGAUUAUUUGUAGCUCUUCUUCAAUUGUGUUCUCCUCCAAAAACUUUGGUGCUCCAAUGAAUUCCUACCUCUUCUACCGUUUUUUUCUUCUUUUUUUCUGUAUUCAACUUUCUGUAUUUCUCCUUGUGAUUAUUUUGUAUUCAACUUUAUGUAUCCAAUGAAAUCCUUAGAGCAUGAUCAGAACAUUGUUGAUAGCAAUUCCAGACCUUGUCCCUGGCCACCACCAAUCUCCAUCAUGCCACUAUACCUAGAAUAAAACCACCACGCACAACACAACACCUGUAAACAACAAAACAAUGUCAAUGCUUCACCUCACGACAACAAAACAUCAUCAUGCAAGCAACCAUCAACCAUUGUGCCUCAUUCACUAAACCCCCAAAUCAAAACCAAAAAUGCACUGUGAGGUUAUCUCAAGAACCCAAAUCACAAAUUAGUACAUGUAAUGCGAACCAAAUGCAGAUCUACACUUUGAACCACCAUGUCGUUCAACCUCUCACCAUUCAACAAAAACUCGAGCACUACAACUUCAAGCCACCAGGUUCAUUCAAUGCACUACAUCGAAACUACAAGCAAACUGCAACAGAACCACAAGCAACCGCCAAAAGCCGUCGGUAAAGACUCAUUACCGAGGGUCCGGCGACGGUCAAAAGGCCCUCGGUAAAUAGCCUGUCGCUAACUAUUACC